CAAGCAAACUCCGUGUUGAUUAAGGCCUGUGCAAUCAAACUCCGUGCUGAUUAAGGCCCGCCUCUUUCAUACAAAAAGACUGUGGACACGAACGUACCCUCUUGGGCUACCAGUGAAAAGCCACAGCACCAUUACUCUGGUCCCCCGUUAAAACGGGAUAAAAAAAACCCGUGGUGAUCCGCGGCCGCGUGGCCGGCUUUGAAAGCCGGCCAGGUCGGUAUCGGCGAGCUACGCUCGGCGCGCCGCCAACCUAGACCUCGGUUUUUUUUAUUUUUUAGCGGGGUCGAAGAAGAAGGAGCCCGGGCACCGCGUAGAGGCCGCUCUAGGGGACGCCGAGCGUCGUGCCGCGUAGAGGCCACUCUAGGGGGGCGCCGAGCGUCGUGGCGCGUCGAGGUCGUUUCCGGGGGCGCCGUGUAGAGGCCACUCCGGGUCGAGGUCGGGGCGCCGCGUAGAGGCCGCUCCGGGUCGAGGUCGUUGCGGGGGCGCCGCGUAGAGGCCGCUCCGGGGGGCGCCGAGCGCCUUGGAGUGCAGUGGCCGGCGUCGUGGGCAACAUCUCGAGCACAACAAGGAGUAGGAAUUAAACGGUCAGCGUCGUUUUUUAAGGUGGCCGGUAUCGUUUUUAAGAACU
Molecule: ribosomal RNA, 628 nt
Filed under: Triticum aestivum (bread wheat)
Lineage: Eukaryota; Viridiplantae; Streptophyta; Magnoliopsida; Poales; Poaceae
Description: partial small subunit ribosomal RNA
Source: RNAcentral